This is a long non-coding RNA of Vombatus ursinus (common wombat), 1069 nucleotides long. RefSeq lists it as uncharacterized. The transcript has 3 exons. NCBI's taxonomy places the organism in Eukaryota, Metazoa, Chordata, Mammalia, Diprotodontia, Vombatidae. The record is from RefSeq and is a predicted model, not a curated record.
GAUGGGGGGGUGGAGGGUGGACAGUAGGGGCGGAGAUGAGAUCUAACCAGGCCUGGAAACGCUGGGGAAAGAGGUGGAGCCUGGAGAGCCCCAGAACCGGGACCCCCUGGCCAGCUGCAGUUAGAAGACCUGGGCUUGAGGCCUGGUUCCACCACAUGCUAGCUGUAUGGCCCUGGCCAAGUCACUUACUGUCUCUGAGCCUCAGGGUCUUUCCUCUGCAAGAUGAGGAUUAUCAAUGAACUUCUGCCCUCAAGAUUCAAAGCAGGCACGUGGUAAAGAAGAAGGAGCCUUGGAAAUGGGAACUACUUUUAUUAUUCUUCUCACAUCCUCCCACCCCCAUCCAUUGGUAUGUUAAGAUACUAUGGAGCAAGGAGGAAUGAGAAUAGCCACUGACGCCCUCUGCUAGAGGUUUCCGUUACUGUGUGCCAAAGGAUAUUGUGGCUGCCUCCUCACAGACUUUCCAGGAUGUCUGGACAUUUCAGAGCUCCCAAAGCUGCUGGGAUACUUCCGUCUCAGGUUACUCACUUGCCUAAGAAAAUCCCAGUGCAAGAAGACCCUACCACAUGGCCAGAAGGAGGCUACAUUCAAGGUUUGAAAUGGCCAAUUACAAACAGACAGAGAAUAUCUGAGUGUGUUCUAUCUAACCUGGCAGGAAGGGCGAAUCUGAGAAUAUUCUUCCUGAUGCUAUUACAAAGAUUUGUUCCUGAAUGUAGGAGUGUUGGGCCAAUAAGUGCACAAAGUUUCAGGAUGGGAAAGAUUUAAGAUCAUUAAACCCAAAUUCCUGAUUCUAUAGAGAAGGAGAGGGCAAAGGGCAGUGGAUAGAGUUCUGGGCCUGAGGUCAGGAAAACUUGAGUUUGAAUCCAGUCUCAGACACUUCCUAGCUGUAUGACUCUGGGCAAGUCACUUAACCUCUAUUUUUCUCAUCCCCCCCACCCCCCACCUCCAUGUGGGUGAUCCAUCAAACAGACCACUGGGAACGCAGUUAAGACUCAAAUUUAAAUCCAACCUCAAACACUUAUAAACUGUAUGACCCUGUAUAAUCACUUAACCUCUGUUUGCCUCAUCUACA